RNAcentral lists this ribosomal RNA (464 nucleotides) under Vreelandella stevensii. RNAcentral describes it as "partial 16S ribosomal RNA". It matches the Rfam family "Bacterial small subunit ribosomal RNA", at positions 338 to 795 of the family's 1533-position model. The record is from RNAcentral. Lineage: Bacteria; Pseudomonadati; Pseudomonadota; Gammaproteobacteria; Oceanospirillales; Halomonadaceae.
CCUACGGGCGGCAGCAGUGGGGAAUAUUGGACAAUGGGCGAAAGCCUGAUCCAGCCAUGCCGCGUGUGUGAAGAAGGCCUUCGGGUUGUAAAGCACUUUCAGUGGGGAAGAAAGCCUUGGGGCUAAUACCCUCGAGGAAGGACAUCACCCACAGAAGAAGCACCGGCUAACUCCGUGCCAGCAGCCGCGGUAAUACGGAGGGUGCGAGCGUUAAUCGGAAUUACUGGGCGUAAAGCGCGCGUAGGCGGUCUGAUAAGCCGGUUGUGAAAGCCCCGGGCUCAACCUGGGAACGGCAUCCGGAACUGUCAGGCUAGAGUGCAGGAGAGGAAGGUAGAAUUCCCGGUGUAGCGGUGAAAUGCGUAGAGAUCGGGAGGAAUACCAGUGGCGAAGGCGGCCUUCUGGACUGACACUGACGCUGAGGUGCGAAAGCGUGGGUAGCAAACAGGAUUAGAUACCUUGUAGUC